UUAUUUUGUUACACUUUGAACAUCCAUGACUUUAGUAAAGUAAAGGACAACAAACGCCUCUUGUCGCCAUUUCACAGUUUCCUGUAACCGGAAACUGUCAACUGUCGCGACAACCUGUUGCUGUCAACUGACGUUCGUGUUGUUAGCCGUUUGACAUUGACGUGUUUGUUGUCACACUGUCACAGUGAUACGGGUGCUGUUUGUCUCAGACUGUUUUUAAAAUGUCUACGAGAGUAGUAAUGUAUAAUCCAGAACCAGUGGCGUUUUCAAGGGAGUUUGGGAGCCCCGAGACAAAAUGCUCCUGUGGGCAGGGCCCGUCCAAGUCUUUAUGGGGCCCUACACUGAAUUUGUUGGGGGGGCUUUCAUAAAACACUUCUCUAAACUCUCCUAUGUCUUUUUAUUUUGAAUUUCUGGCUGUAGAAUUGGCAAAAAAAACAACUUUCUUUUAACUAUACUAUAUAACUAUAUGACUAACUUUUAGGAAUACUGAGAAACGUGUAACACGCUGGUGAAUCUUGUCUGUAACAAGUGGGCGCUAAGCUCUAUUUCUCAGCUUUCCGUUAUCCAACCGUUCGUCUUCUACUGCUUUAUCCUCCACAUGAGAGUUGGGAUGCCAGAUCGCCAGUCCAUAGUUUUUGAAUUUUCUAGAUGUCACAAAUGUGAUGCAAACAGGAUGGUAACAGAAGGGUUAAAUUCCAUUAAUAAUAGUUGUGUUCACACCAAACCAGUGUCACUUUUUUUUUUUUUUAUCGUAGAGGGGAGUUAAUCACAAAAAUGGCCUUGUAUUAAUUUGCAUGAUGUGUUUUCACAUGGCGAUUUAAUGCACUUUGUACUUAGGAGAAAUGUCCCAAGACCUGAUUUGUGAUCCGAUUUUCAUGGAGAUCAUCAAUAAAAACAUGCGUGUUCCUGAUCGCCUGAGUGUCGGCACGAGGCAGCAGUGGCAGAGGGAGGAAGGAGAGCAGCCCCCACCAGUUUAUUCCAUGCAGGUCCCUGAAAGGCUGACAUACACAGAAGCCCCUGAUAUGAGCCCCAGGCCUCUGUUUAGCCCGUCCAAGCCGAUGAUCUGUGGUCCCAUGGGUCUGGAACCGUGCUGGGAGAGUCCAUCUGGAGAAGUCUUCUACAAAGAAGCACUGCAGAGUCCCAUACGCAGAUCUUACAGUGACCAAAGCUUUGGCAGGACGCCACCUGGCACCCCGACCCAGAAGAAACAGGCACUGACCAGACACCCAUCAAGCUCUCGAGGUUCGGGUCAUCACAUACGUGAGCACAGCGCCGCGUCCCCCACCGCUCAGACCACCAGCCCUAAGAUCCCGGCUCAGUCUUUCCCCGCCUCCCCCCUCAGCUCCCUGUCGUCACACUCCUUGGUGCAGGCUGCCAAGCAGCUGGGCCGACAAGCUUCACAGCGCCUCCUGCAGACGGUCACGCAGAAAUACAGAUUUAGCAGCCAAGAGAGGCCGCCACCAGCGCGGGUCACGCCGGAGAUUCCUGCUUCAGCACACGUGGAGCACGGCGAGAACAGGGCGAUGGAUACCUGGAGCCCAGAAGAGGAGGGAGGAGCUGCAGCUGUUGAGUUCAUCAUCCUGCGGCGACAGGUGAUGAAAAUGAGCCGUAGGCUGGCGGCACUGGAGCGGCACAACUCUGAACACAGGAGCACUGAAGUCAUCCUCUUCUCCUUGUUGUUCUCUGCGUGUCUGCUCAACGCCUGGCUGUGGAUCCGCAGAUAACACACAACGCACACAACGCACGCCGGUGAACCGCUGUCAACCUCCUGUAGCUCUGACCACUGUCAGGUGCACCCCGCCUAUCACCCUAUGACAGCUGAGAGUGGCACAUCACCCCCCACGACCCCCCACGACCCUCUGGACAAAGCGGUAGAUGAUUCUAGGACUGCGGGAGGAAGCCAGAGAACCCGGAGAAAAGCCAUGCAAACACUGGGAGAACAUGAAAAACUGCAUGCAGAAAGAUCCGUGUUCCAACUGGGUCUCGAACCCAGAAUUUCUUGUUUCAAAGGCAAGAAUAGUACAACUACACCAAACAUCCGGUCCAGGAUGGAGGACAGACAUCCUUAAAUAUCUCAUCAGUCCGAGGUCUGCACAGUCAUGGGUAAUCUGUUAUUGAAAGACUUCCAAAGACUGGCGAACUGUACAGGGUGGACGCCACCUAUCACCCUAUGACAGCUGAGCUUGGCACUGCACCCCACACAACCCUCCGGUGGUGGACAAAGCGGUAGAUGAUUGAUGGACUGUGGGAGGAAGCCGGAGGAAGCCAGAGUCCCUGGAGAAAAGCCACGCACACACGGGGAGAACAUGAAAAACUCCAGAAAGAUACUUGUUCCAAAUGGGUCUUGAACUCUGAAAGUCUUGUUUCAAAGGCAAGAGCACUAACCACUACACCAACCACGUUGUCCAUUUUCGGGGACAAACGUUCUGAAAUAUUUCAUCAGUCUGACAUUUUUUCGAAGUCAUGGGUUCUAUUAUUGAAAGACUUCCAAAUUGUGCAAAAAAGCAUGCAAAGACAAGUAGCUCACACGGUUCAGAUGUGGACUGGCGUUCCUAUGGUCAUGGGUUCGAAUCUUACAUGAAGUCAUUGUUUAAGUCGAAAUUUACCUCAUCACUGUACUGCAUGUUUUGAAUGGACUGGGGAAGAGUCGAGGGUGAACCACGCCUAUCACCCUAUGACAGCUGAGCUUGGCACAGCACCCCCCGCAACCCUCCAGUGUAGGACAAAGCGGUAGAUGAUUGAUGCACUGUGG
Solea solea (common sole) is the source of this 2752-nucleotide RNA transcript. It is a transcript of the gene named mitochondrial fission factor, with no coding region annotated. The record is from RefSeq and is a predicted model, not a curated record. Lineage: Eukaryota; Metazoa; Chordata; Actinopteri; Pleuronectiformes; Soleidae. The transcript has 9 exons.